This 414-nucleotide long non-coding RNA is filed under the name Homo sapiens (human). RNAcentral describes it as "HSALNT0284017". Lineage: Eukaryota; Metazoa; Chordata; Mammalia; Primates; Hominidae. The record is from RNAcentral.
GUACCUGAUGCUCCUCGAGCUCCUGCACUAGCACCUGAGCAAAAGGGAAACACAGAUAUGAGGAGCAGCUCGGGCCAUCAACCCAUUCCUCCCUCCACACUUAAAGCCCAGCCGCUGACCGUUUGACUAGUCAAGGCCGGCCUUUCCCUCACCCUCAACGGAACUGCUCGUCCCGCUGCCUCGAUUUCCCCACUGGGACCAUUCACCACGACUCCCAGAUCUCUUUCUUCCCCUUACCUGAGCGGAUUUGUUGCAGGGUCCAGACUGCAAGAACCUAGCGAUCAGGUAAUACAGCUCUGGGGAAGAGGGGGGAAAAGAGGUUCAGAGGGAGGUAGAGAAGAGAAAUAGAAGCUUUUUCAAAAGAAACUGACAGCCUUCGCGCUAAGCCCCCAUUCCCUUAGCACCCCCCCACCC